Molecule: non-coding RNA, 237 nt
Organism: Pelobates cultripes (western spadefoot toad)
Lineage: Eukaryota; Metazoa; Chordata; Amphibia; Anura; Pelobatidae
Source: the annotation of a GenBank genome assembly
GCCUUACCCUUCCGUGAACUCGGCUCAGGGCCUUCACCCUUCCAGUAGCGCUUGGGGGGCGUGCCUGUUCUCUGCCCGGAGAGUCGGGAUCAGAUUCUAUCAGCGCGCACUGAGUCUCCGAUACAUCCCUAUCUUGGGACGGCCUAGGCAGUGCGUGCGAAAGCGCUUUCUCCACUGAAGCGGCAAAGGCCGCGUUAAUCGUAGCCUGUAGGCUCUCUUGGGUAGGAGCGUCCAUCC